This is a non-coding RNA of Phoenix dactylifera (date palm), 416 nucleotides long. Lineage: Eukaryota; Viridiplantae; Streptophyta; Magnoliopsida; Arecales; Arecaceae. The record is from RefSeq and is a predicted model, not a curated record.
AUGGACAAAGUACUGCCAUGUGUCUAAGACAAGCAUUGCGACCACAAAUUGUCUCGCCACCACGAAGAAGGAAGGUUGCAAGUUUGUACCAGUCCUUUCAUCUUUGCUUAUCACCUGCACAUGCUUCAGAAAUGAGAUGAUAGCUACAGCAAUCUGAAAUGCCUGUUGAACGAGAACACCUCUGACAACAGUUCCUUUCGAGGGCAAAUUCUUGGUUUCUUCCUCCUUCCUGGAGUGCAGCCGGUACUUGUCGAAGCAACCCAGCAGCAUGUAAAGGCCAGAGUACACCCAGUAAACUAGAACAGAAUGACCGUCUUGAAGGGCUGCUAUUUAUACAGGACCCAAAGCUGGCAAAACGGAAAUAUGCCAAUAGUUUUUUCCAUGGGUUCGCUGCUUCAACUGUACCGUCAAAACGA